RNAcentral lists this microRNA precursor (94 nucleotides) under Branchiostoma floridae (Florida lancelet). RNAcentral describes it as "mir-2060 microRNA precursor family". It matches the Rfam family "mir-2060 microRNA precursor family". Lineage: Eukaryota; Metazoa; Chordata; Leptocardii; Amphioxiformes; Branchiostomatidae. The record is from Rfam by way of RNAcentral.
GCUUAUUUGUGUCAAGAUGGUGUUCAGCACCAAGGACAGGUAUGUUUACAUGUGUGUGGAUGGUGUUCAGCACCUGGGACAGGUGUGUUUGCUU